This is a long non-coding RNA of Hipposideros armiger (great roundleaf bat), 1093 nucleotides long. RefSeq lists it as uncharacterized. Lineage: Eukaryota; Metazoa; Chordata; Mammalia; Chiroptera; Hipposideridae. The transcript is spliced from 2 exons. The record is from RefSeq and is a predicted model, not a curated record.
GACAUGAAGACCUGUCAGCGAGCAGACUGUUUUGAUGCUGACCCACGGGACGCACCUGUGUGUCCCUGCUCCACACGGCAGGCGGGCCCCAGCCAGGGUGCCACACGCCGCACGUGGCCCUUCCUGAAAGCUGGCAGGCUGCGUAUGUUACUUCAAAAGACUUUGUUCCUUUCAACUUUCAGUUCCUGAGACACUGAUUUGUAAAUUUUGAAAAUAUUAAAGAGUUAAAAUACACAGUUUGAGCCCCAGAAUAAAGUUUUCAUGGUCUUACAUGUUUGUUAGUAAAAGAAUAGUGCUUUGUGUAUCUGCUCAGUGUUUGAAACGCAACACUGGUUGGCCUGCUCCGUUUAACUUGAACCUAAACUACUGGGGAGCAGCGAUGCCGCCGUGCGUCCCCGUCAUACAGGCUAGAAGUGCUACUGUAUUUUUAGGCUGCCUUGUUCAGUGUAAAUUCAGGAAAACCUGUAAGUAAACUAAGAGCAAAACUAAAUUAAAUGUGUUCUUUGUUUAAAUAAUGUAAACUCAUAAGCAGAUAAUUUAGGUAUAAGAACUAACGUCUGAGGUAAAGUGCUAUUGUAGAUAGCCACCUGCCUCUGCUCACACAGUCAAGGGUUUAUUGGCCAUUCUCCCAUUUGUGGAUCUAACUUUGAUUUUGAUAUUCCUUCACUGCUUUACAUAAUUCACUGGAGAGUUCAACUAAUCAGGUUGAAAAUAUCAACUGAAUACCACGUUGCACGUUUCUGUAAAGUCAAUGAAAAGCUACUUGAGACUGCUGUCGGUUCUUUAGCACAUGCCCCGCCUGACUGCAGUGUUCCCUGCUUCACUGUGAGUGUGACGCUGACCUGGGUUACGGCCUGACACCAGCCCUGGGCUGGUUGUAUGACUGCUGGUGUUCACAGUCCUACUGGACUCAAACGUCCUCUGAGUGGAGCCCAGUCCUUUUCAGCAGUAGCACACAGCACGUCUUUUUCUUUCCCCCGAAGCCUGAACCCACUGCGGUGAUGGACUGUGGCUUUUACAUUUGUCCCUGAAGGAUGUAAUCUCAGAAGUUCAAUGCUGUUCACUUGCAAAUAAACUUCCUAAAACAUGAAAA